GCCCCCAUCGUCUAGAGGCCUAGGACACCGGCCUUUCAAGCCGGUAACAGCGAUUCGAAUUCGCUUGGGGGCAC
This 74-nucleotide transfer RNA is filed under the name subsurface metagenome. RNAcentral describes it as "tRNA-Glu". It matches the Rfam family "tRNA". Rfam says of the family: Transfer RNA (tRNA) molecules are approximately 80 nucleotides in length. Their secondary structure includes four short double-helical elements and three loops (D, anti-codon, and T loops). The record is from RNAcentral.